UCACUGUUCCCUGGACCCUGCUCCUCAUGGGCCCUUGCACAGUCCAGAAGAUCUGUGAGCAGGGUGGUUGGUUCCCAUCUCAGCACACAAAUUUACAAGCUGAGAACACGUACAAGGGCCUGUUGGCACCAUCACUGCUGCCAACCUCUUCUCUGCAGCCCACACACCACCAAGGCUGAGGUCACCCACAGCUCUCCUGCUCUGGCACACUUCCUGCUGCUGGGAUUUGCUCUCCAGAGCACAUGUUGGAGGAAUGAGUCUUUGUUUUUUGCAAUCAAAAACUUCUUGGAAGAAUAUCUCAUGGCAAAUAUCAGACACCAGCUCCCCUGGUCUCAAACACUUGUGUCUUUAAAAUCACCCUUGAUGAAGCCUGAGAAGGACUGGGGAAAUUCCAUAUGGCCACAGCACUGGAAAUACAUGGCUGCAUCCAGAAACUGCUCAUGGAAACAUCCAACUGCAGACCCAGGCUACUCCUGUGGAUGGAGAGACCUGCCCUGGGGUGCCAGGGUGAGCUCUGAGUCCCCUCAACUCUCCUGGAUUCCAGCAGAGAACAAAAGGAUUCUCAGCGGACUCCAUCAGGAGCAGACUGAGGUGGAGGAGUGGGAGGCAGCACAGCAAGGAGGUCAGUAAGCAAAUAAGCACAUGUACUAUCUCAGUAAUGAAAUGACUCUUUGCCUCUCCUCAUCCUUGAUGGGAAGUGACAGCCAAAGGAAUCAUUA
Molecule: long non-coding RNA, 719 nt
Organism: Lepidothrix coronata (blue-crowned manakin)
Lineage: Eukaryota; Metazoa; Chordata; Aves; Passeriformes; Pipridae
Exons: 3
Source: RefSeq, a predicted model, not a curated record